CUCUAUUAUUAUCCAAGAAACUAGAGACUAUAUAUCAUGUAGCUAAACAAGAUUCUGCAAAAUGACCAAUUGGUGAAGACACACAAUUGAGACAUUUGCGUGGAUAGAUAGUAUGGCUGAUUCGUGCCAUAGAUGUUUGUUACGCC
Long non-coding RNA from Erigeron canadensis, 146 nucleotides. RefSeq lists it as uncharacterized. The transcript has 3 exons. Lineage: Eukaryota; Viridiplantae; Streptophyta; Magnoliopsida; Asterales; Asteraceae. The record is from RefSeq and is a predicted model, not a curated record.